Molecule: long non-coding RNA, 5168 nt
Organism: Mobula hypostoma (lesser devil ray)
Lineage: Eukaryota; Metazoa; Chordata; Chondrichthyes; Myliobatiformes; Myliobatidae
Exons: 4
Source: RefSeq, a predicted model, not a curated record
AUGUACGUGAAAUGGGGGAGAUGCGUUUAAGAGCAGAGUUGAUAGUGGAGGAAGGGAAGCCCCUUUCUUUAAAAAAAGGAAGACAUCUCCCUCGUCCUAGAAUGAAAAGCCUCAUCCUGAGAGCAGAUGCGGCGGAGACAGAGGAAUUGCGAGAAGGGGAUGGCGUUUUUGCAAGAGACAGGGUGAGAAGAGGAAUAGUCCAGAUAGCUGUGAGAGUCAGUAGGCUUUGGAAUAAACUUGGAUGCAAGAGCGUAAUAACUGAAGUAAGACUAUUUUAUAUCAGAGGGUGAAACAGUCAAAACAGACUGAAAUCACAGGGUCAUCUGGAGCUAUGGGAGCUCAUGAAAGUGUCUCUAUGUUUUGAUGGUCAAGGUGACCACAGAAGGCAUUGAGUUCAUCUGGGAGUGAAAACAACUGCUAAUUACAACAGUCAAAAGAAGAGGAAAUACAGAAAAUUGAGAAUGGCAAGAUAAAGUGAUUGGAGCAGAGAGCAAAGAGCAUGUAGAAAAGGCAAGGGAACCUUGGUUUACAAGAGAUAUUGAGGUCCUGGUUACGAAGAAGGUGGUGCAUGGCAGGAACAGGCAGGAAGGGGUAAGUGAGGUACUUGAGCAUAAGAAAUGCAAGAGAACACACAAGGAAAUCAGAAGGGCUAAAAUACCAUGAAGUUGCUCUCGCAGGCAAGGUGAAGAAGAACCCCAAGGGCUUCUACAGAUAUAUUAUGAUCAAAAGGGAUAGCAAGGAACAAAGUUUAUCCUCUGAAAGAUCAGAGUAGUAAUCUAUGUAUGGAGCCAAAAGAGAUGGAGGAGAUCAUUCUCAUCUGUGCAAACACGAGAAAAUCUACAGAUGCUGGAAAUCCAAGCAAUGCGUAAAAAAGGGCCUUGAAGAAGGGUCUCAGCCCAAAAUGCCACUGUUUACUCUUUUCCGUAGAUGAUUUCCACCAGCAUUUUGUAUGUUUUUUGCAUUUGAAUUUGCUUGGGAGAUAGACAUGGAGUCUAUAGAAGUGAGGCAAAGCAACAGUGAGGUUAUGGACUGUAUACAGAUUACAGAUGAGGAAAGGUUUACUAUCUUGAGGCAAAUCAGGGUGAAUAAAUCCCCGGGACUUGACAAGGUCUUCCCUCAGACCCUGUGGGAAACUAGUGCAGAAAUUGCUGGGGCCCGAGCACAUAUACAAGUAUUUAAAUAGAUAAGUACUGAUUAGGGAUAGUCAACAUGGCUUUGUGCAUAGCAGGUCAUACUCAACCAAGGAAGUUAUCAGGAAAGUUGAUGGUGUCUACAUAGACUUUCGCAAGGCCUUUGACAAGAUCCCAAACGGCAAGUUGGUCAAGGUUUAUUCACUUGGCAUUCAAAUUGAGGUAGUAAAUUGCAUUUGGCAUUGGCUUCACAGGAGAAGAUAGUUGUAUCUUUGACUGGAGGCAUGAGAAUAGUGGUGUGCCGCAGGGAUUGGUGCUGGGUCCAUUGUUGUUUGUCAUCUAUAAUCAAAGCUCUGGAGGAUAAAGCGGUAAACUGGAUCAGCAAGUGUAAUCUUAGUAUGGACACACCAGAGUAGAACUUAAAUGGUGAGUGGUAGGGCACUGAGGAGAACAGUAGGAUUCCUUGAAAGCGGUAUCACAGGUAGAUAGGGUCCAUAAAGCCUAGAAAAAUCUUUAACACCAUAAAUUGGCAAGUUGUUUUGUUUUGUCUCCCCUCUUGCUGUGAAGUGGGAACACCUCUUUUCCCUUUUUAGGGAAAGAGAGCACCUGUGGUAUGUCGAAUUACCGGGUGAAUGAGUAGUCUUUUGGGUAUUUCAAGUCUGUGUCUUUAUUGAUACUUUGCUGCACACUUGAGUGCAUGGGGGAGGGUACAGAUGCUUUUUGCUGGUGGGGGAGGGGGGUUGUCACUUUGCUGCCGCUUAUGCGUGGGAGUGGGGAGCUGCGGGGGCUUUGGGGUUCUAACAUUUUACUGUCAUUCAUUCUUUGGGGUACUUCUCUGUUUUUGUGGAUGUUUGCGAAGAAAAAGAAUUUCAGGAUGUAUAUUGUAUACAUUUCUCUGACAUUAAAUGUACCUAUUGAAACCUAUUAAAGAGAACUUUUGGCACAUUGGUCUUUAUAAAUCAAAAUAUUGAGUACAGGAGUCCAGAUGUUAUGUUGAAGUUGUACAAGAUGCUGGUGAGGCCUAAUUUAGGGUAUUGUAUGCAAUUUUGGUCAUCUACCUACAGGAAAGAUGUAAACAAGGCUGAAAGAGUUUCAAUGUUUUAGUGCUUUAUGACUCUAGAAAGGAAGAGAAAAGGACUUGCUCCUUGAGCAAUGGCUGAUGUCAACCACUGUACCAUGUUACAGUCAAGGCGUGCAACAACAGCAAAGGCUUUUAAUUUGUGCUGAACCUUUCUACCACUUCCAUAUGCCAUUUUAAGAGUUAACCCCCCUCUGUAAAAUCAGAAGAUCAGCUCUGAGAAAUCAACUUGGUUUCUUUAGUUUAAUCCCUUUAGCACUAAAUCUGAUUUCAGCCGCACAAAAAAAAAAAUCAGGACAUGAAAUAACAUCAAAAUCUGGUCUGUGUGGAAUGAAGAAAGUCCAUCUUUGAAGCCAGCUCAGAUUAAAAGGAGGCACCUCCUGCCCAGAACAGAUAAGUCAAUGCAUCAGUUCCCUUGUGAGCACUGUUUCAUAGUUAAAAGUUUAGCACACAUACUUAGAAACAGUACUACUAACAAUAGACCAGGGCAGUGAAAUAUGAGGAAGAGAUUUCUGUUGAAAUUCAUCUUAAAUGUUUGUUCCCUUUCCUACCACUCCCUAAUUUCAUGGAAAAAUGCAGUAGAUUUUCCCACAGGUUAGCUCAUUAUAUCUUUCACACACAGUUUAAUGAAUCACCGCAGCUGCCCACUUAGAUGAAGUGAAAAUUUAUUUUUAAGGGGAUUGUGUAUCAUCCAGAAGAUUUCUUUUCAACUGAGACUGCCUCCACUAGCAAAUCUGGGUCACACAACACAUUCAUCAGUUUCAGUUCAGUGACAACCACCACCCUCCCUCCACCCACACACACCUCUGCAAAACCCAUAUCGGAAGAAGCUUGGGAUAUGAGCACAUAACCCAGGCUUUCAUCCGGAAGAAUGUAACACUAGGGAAGACAUCAUCUUAAGGACAUCAAGACAAAGCUAUAAACACAAGACAUUCUACAGAUGCUGGAAAUCCAGGGCAACACACGCAAGAUACCAGAGGAACUCAGCAGGUCAGGCAGCAUCGAUGGAGAGGAAUAAACAGUCGACAUUUCAAAAUGAGACCCUUCAUUAGGACAAAGCUAUGCUUGCCCUCACAAGUGACUGUUGGAGAUCCCAGGGAGCGAAUUACAGAGGUGAUGGGGUUUUCUCCGUGUAGUCAGGACAAUAUUAGCCCAUCAAACCAAAACCAGCAGUAAUUUUCACAUUGCUCUGUGCCUUUGUAUACUGCUGUGGUUCUUUCAUUACAACAUUUGAAGCAGUACUUCAAAACGUGCAGUGUUGGGACAACUUUAGACCAUAACAAGCACCAUAAAAUGCAAAUAAUUUAAUUUCCUUUCUAAGAAUCUAAAUAAUAAAGGUGGCUCUUCAGUCAGUGUGUUGAUGCACAUAUCUUCCAUGUGGUAGGGAAAGGAUUAAAGUCACCCAGGGAACUGGAAUGACAGACACCCCUAGUACCCUGUUACUGACAAUCCCAGCAAAGAGUAAUACGUCUUUAUGGUAAAGAGCAAUAUGCUUUUGGGGCUUAAAUUUACCCCACAAUUAGUUUUAAUGGAUGUAAAACAAAAAGGCUUCCCCCUCCCAUGGAAAAAAAUAGCAUCAAGACAAAUGAAAAUAGCCACCUGACCUUACAAGCCUUUGCACCCCUAUGCUACAGGAGCCUCUGUAAUGAAGCUGAAACUCAUAGGAGCUCAACAGCUCAAGAAAACUGGAAUGUAGUACUACCAGCAUCUUUCUGUGGCAGGGUACCUCGAAGGGGAUUACAGCAAAUGAAGUCCUUUUCAAAUGAUGUCAUCACUGUUACACUAGUAACUCACCAACCAUGCUGAGUACAACAAGGUCCCAUAAUAAGCAAUGAGAUUCAUUGCUAUUGUGAGGGAUGCACAUCUGAAUGACUAAUACCAAAGAGGAUCACCUUGCUGCGCUUAGAAAACAGGCUCAUUUAUUUCCAUUUGAGGCAACAGAAGAAAUCUUGCUUUAAAAGUCUCCUCUGAUGACAGUGUCUCAAACAGUGAGGUACUCCCUUAGGUUUGCACUCGAACAUCUUAGAUCAACUCUGUUGCCGCACAUUUACAGCCCCCUGACUCAAAGCAUGACAGUCACCUAUAACAGAAUUGGCACAGAUGCCAGAUUACUAACAGAAAAUGAGAUUUGUUUUAUUAUGGAGGAAAAAGCCAGUCAGAUUGACUUAGUUUGCAGUGUUAUGGUCAUCUUUAUGUCAUGAAGCCAAGUUCCACUAUGCAUACCUUCUACUUCAGGUGGUAAUGAAGCAGAGCUGAAGUCAGAUGUUGAGCCCAAAUCAUUAACUUAUUACAGCAGGGAAGGCAGCCAUUUAGUCCAGAGCUCCCACAUCAACUGACCCCAAGCAAUCCCAACAGUCGAAUUCCUGUUUCCCCUGGAAUUAAUUCCCUUUGCCCCUUUUGUUCUUUAUGCAUUUACCUACACUAAGAAUUUAGAACAGCCAUCUGACCUACCAACACAUUUUUAGGACGUGUUGCAAAACCAUGACAAAAUAGUCAUGUGCAGAAUGUACAAAAUCCAUACACAGCUCAAAUUGCUACCCUGUUAACUGGGGAACCAACCUGCUGGCCAAACGUUGCUGAGAAAAGAGAAAUCAGGAUGCUUUCGCUCAUAAUAAGUAACCUUAGAAGACUGGGCAUUUACUGGAAAAUAUAGAAAUACAAUAGAAUUUAAUGGAAAAACUACAAAUAGCUCAGUUCUUCUGCGAAGGAAAAUGACGCAAAAGAGUCCUAGUAAAACACUCAGCCCUGUGCUUUCUUCAAAAAGGUCUGGCGAAUCAACUGAAUUCUUUUAGCUUUGCUUAUUCGUUGGCGCAAGGGCAAAGAGGACUCAUUUAAUUCAUUUGCUUAUUUCUUCAUGAUCGAGUUUAUAGAAUGGAAUCCCUUCAAAUGCAACAAAAACACGUUUACUACAUAUUGAAAUCAGAAACUAGUCAAUUAAGCUUUGAUAUGAAAUAAAAGAG